GGUGUCUUAGCCAAGAGGAAAGGCCUGGAGCUGCAACCUCCAUAUCGUCAGUUCGAUUCUGACAGACACCUCCA
Molecule: transfer RNA, 74 nt
Filed under: Candidatus Mycoplasma haematobovis
Lineage: Bacteria; Bacillati; Mycoplasmatota; Mollicutes; Mycoplasmatales; Mycoplasmataceae
Also listed under: 1 other name
Description: Candidatus Mycoplasma haemobos tRNA-Cys
Rfam family: tRNA
About the family: Transfer RNA (tRNA) molecules are approximately 80 nucleotides in length. Their secondary structure includes four short double-helical elements and three loops (D, anti-codon, and T loops). Further hydrogen bonds mediate the characteristic L-shaped molecular structure. tRNAs have two regions of fundamental functional importance: the anti-codon, which is responsible for specific mRNA codon recognition, and the 3' end, to which the tRNAs corresponding amino acid is attached (by aminoacyl-tRNA synthetases). tRNAs cope with the degeneracy of the genetic code in two manners: having more than one tRNA (with a specific anti-codon) for a particular amino acid; and 'wobble' base-pairing, i.e. permitting non-standard base-pairing at the 3rd anti-codon position.
Source: RNAcentral